RNAcentral lists this ribosomal RNA (412 nucleotides) under Ceratozamia kuesteriana. RNAcentral describes it as "eukaryotic LSU rRNA". The stretch from base 4 to 157 matches the Rfam family "5.8S ribosomal RNA". The record is from RNAcentral. Lineage: Eukaryota; Viridiplantae; Streptophyta; Cycadopsida; Cycadales; Zamiaceae.
CACGACUCUCGGCAACGGAUAUCUCGGCCCUCACCACGAUGAAGAACGUAGCGAAAUGCGAUACAUAGUGUGAAUUGCAGAAUCCCGUGAAUCAUCAAGUCUUUGAACGCAAGUUGCGCCCGAGGCCUUGGCCAAGGGCACGUCUGCCUGGGUGUCGCAUUCAAAUAAACGCCCCUUGYCGGAAUGGCAGCGGAGCGGACCUGGUCAUCCGCGCCCCCGUGGCCCGGUUGGCUAAAAUGGAUUUCGGACCCCCGUCGUCUCGCAUUGGUAAGCGGUGGUUUUGCUGCUUCCGAGCGGCAAGCCGGCAAGCGCCAGUGCGAGGAUCGGAUGGCAUGUCCGACUCGCAACCUCUCUUUCCGUCAUGUCUGUGCUCCUAGGCAGGCAUUCGACGGUCCAUUCAUGGUGCGACCCC